AGAGUUUGAUCCUGGCUCAGGACUAACGCUGACGGUAUGCCUUAUACAUGCAAGUCGAACGGUAAGGUCUCUUCGGAGAUACACGAGUGGCGGACGGGUGAGUAACGCGUAGGAAUAUGCCCUUUAGUGGGGGACAACCAAGAGAAAUUUUGGCUAAUACCCCAUAUGCAGUGAUGUGAAAGAUUUAUCGCUGAAGGAGUAGCCUGCGUUUGAUUAGCUAGUUGGUGUGGUAAUGGCAUACCAAGGCGACGAUCAGUAGCUGGUCUGAGAGGAUGAACAGCCACAUUGGAACUGAGACACGGUCCAAACUCCUACGGGAGGCAGCAGUGGGGAAUUUUCCGCAAUGGACGAAAGUCUGACGGAGCGACGCUGCGUGAAGGAUGACGGCCUGCGGGUUGUAAACUUCUUUUCUCGAAGAAGAAGCUCUGACGGUAUUCGAGGAAUAAGCAUCGGCUAACUCCGUGCCAGCAGCCGCGGUAAUACGGAGGAUGCAAGUGUUAUCCGGAAUGAUUGGGCGUAAAGCGUCUGUAGGCUGUAUAGAAAGUCUUUUGUUAAAUGCCUCGGCUCAACCGAGAUCCAGCAAAGGAAACUUCUAUACUUGAGGGAAGUAGAGGUACAGGGAAUUCCCGGUGGAGCGGUGAAAUGCGUAGAUAUCGGGAGGAACACCAAUAUGGCGAAGGCACUGUACUGGGCUUUACCUGACGCUCAGAGACGAAAGCUAAAGGAGUGAUUAGGAUUAGAUACCCUAGUAAUUUUAGCCGUAAACGAUGGAAACUCACUGCCGAGCGAAAUACAACGAGCGGAGGUCAAGCUAACGCGUGAAGUUUCCCGCCUGGGGAUUACGCUUGCAAAAGUGAAACUCAAAGGAAUUGACGGGGACCCGCACAAGCGGUGGAGUAUGUGGUUUAAUUCGAUGCAACACGAAGAACCUUACCAGGGUUUGAAAUCAUUUCAAAACUCCUUGAAAGAGGAGCCUCCUUCGGGAUGAAAUGACAGGUGGUGCAUGGCUGUCGUCAGCUCGUGUUGUGAAAUGUCGAGUUAAGUCUCGUAACGAGCGCAACCCAUGUCUCUUGUUGCUCACUGAGUGCUUAAGAGAGACUGCCGACCAACAUCGGAGGAAGGUGUGGAUGAUGUCAAGUCAGCAUGCCCCUUACAUCCUGGGCUACACACGUACUACAAUGGUAGGGACAAUGAGCUGCGAUCCUGCGAAGGCUAGCCAAUCUCAAAAACCCUAUCUCAGUUCGGAUUGUACUCUGCAACUCGAGUACAUGAAGGUGGAAUCGCUAGUAAUCGCUGGUCAGCUAUACAGCGGUGAAUACGUUCCCGGGUCUUGUACACACUGCCCGUCACACCAUGGAAGCCGACUCUUCCCUAAGUCGUUACUCGAACCCAUUGGGACGAGGAUGCCGAAGGCGGGGUUGGUGACUGGGGUGAAGUCGUAACAAGGUAACC
RNAcentral lists this ribosomal RNA (1452 nucleotides) under uncultured bacterium. RNAcentral's name for it is "bacterial SSU rRNA". It matches the Rfam family "Bacterial small subunit ribosomal RNA". The record is from RNAcentral.